UGGGGAAUUUUGCGCAAUGGGGGAAACCCUGACGCAGCAACGCCGCGUGGAGGAUGAAAUCCCUUGGGAUGUAAACUCCUUUCGAUCGGGAAGAUAAUGACGGUACCGAGAGAAGAAGCCCCGGCUAACUUCGUGCCAGCAGCCGCGGUAAUACGAGGGGGGCAAGCGUUGUUCGGAAUUAUUGGGCGUAAAGGGUGCGUAGGCGGUUUGAUAAGUCACAUGUGAAAUCUUCGGGCUCAACCCGAAGUCUGCAUGCGAAACUGUCGGGCUUGAGUAUUGGAGAGGUGAGUGGAAUUUCCGGUGUAGCGGUGAAAUGCGUAGAUAUCGGAAGGAACACCUGUGGCGAAAGCGGCUCACUGGACAAUAACUGACGCUGAUGCACGAAAGCUAGGGGAGCAAAC
RNAcentral lists this ribosomal RNA (401 nucleotides) under uncultured bacterium. RNAcentral's name for it is "bacterial SSU rRNA". It matches the Rfam family "Bacterial small subunit ribosomal RNA", at positions 355 to 773 of the family's 1533-position model. The record is from RNAcentral.